UUUUCUCCGAGGAAAAGGUGUGGAUGAUUUCUGAUCAUCACCCAUCAUCGUCUUUUUUCAUUUUUAGCAGUGGCCACUGCUGGCCAAACGGUUUUCCUUUUUCCAAACGACCACAUAACUCAUUAGGAGAGGAGCGGGGAAUUCGAGA
Caenorhabditis elegans is the source of this 148-nucleotide non-coding RNA. NCBI's taxonomy places the organism in Eukaryota, Metazoa, Nematoda, Chromadorea, Rhabditida, Rhabditidae. The record is from Ensembl.